Molecule: long non-coding RNA, 6004 nt
Organism: Ictalurus furcatus (blue catfish)
Lineage: Eukaryota; Metazoa; Chordata; Actinopteri; Siluriformes; Ictaluridae
Exons: 4
Source: RefSeq, a predicted model, not a curated record
UUGCAGGCUGUCAUGCCAUGCACCCAUUUUACAGAUCCCACUGACAUUAUACACAGCCAAGGAAAUGAGUCAGUAUUAGUAUCAACAGUGAUGCAUCGGGUAACAUUGCCAUCUCACAACUCAAAUUCCAUCAACUCAAAUUCCAAGUUCCCAAUUCCAACCAUCAACUCGGGCUACUGACUGUCCAUGUAGGUUUACUCUGGGUUCAACAGUUUCCUCCCACCCCCAGAAAUAUGCUAUUAGGUGGAUCGGUUAUGAUAAAUUGCCCCUAGGUGUGAAUGAGUGUGUGAAUAAGUGUGCGUUCAUGAUGGACUGAUGUCCCAUCCAGGGCAUAUUCCCUCCACACAGCCAAUGUUCCCAGGGUAGGCUCUGGAUCAGGCAUGGAUAAAGCAAUUAUUGAAGGAAGGUGUGAUGACUAAGUCUCAUGUGAAUAAAGAGGAAAAACUAUUUUGUACGCUAGAGGCAUCCUUUAAGACUCAACACCUUCUGUAAGAUUGGUUUCUUCCAGUUAAGGCAAAGAAAUGUUUGGCAAGGACAUUCAACCUCUGGCAUUUGCUCACCAGACUUUAAAGCACUACACAUGUUACUCCUGAGAUACCAGUGAUCCUGACCCCUUCUGACCUCCCGAGCUGCCCAAUUCAUCUUGAUGCCCUACUUCUAGUUGGAGUUCUCAGCAAUUGGAAGUCACUUAUUGCUGCUCAGGAUGGCCCCACAUGGUACAGCCUAAAGAUCAUUGAGAUUACUGAGGAUGAUACCACUUAAAAUCCAUAAAGAUGGCUUUGUACCUCAAUUCAUAUGAACAGGUAUGCUAUGAUGACUUAGGACUACAAUUGCUAUGAUAGCAUUAGGACUGCAAUUGCCGCAAACAAUUUUGCACUCAAGUCUCCAUCAAUGAACAGUGGAUAAGUUCAACAAUAUAGACUUCAUGUAAAACUGUAAUGAAUUUUCUGGUUACACAACUGCACUAUUUGACCAUGUAGUAUUAGCACAUUUAUAGAAGGGAUUUAUUUAUAAUUAUACUAUCUGAUGUCACCCACAUGAGGAUAGGUUCCCUUUUGAGUCUGGUUCUUCUCAAGGUUUCUUCCUCAUAUCAUCUCAGAGAGUUUUUCCUUGCCACCGUCACCUCUGGCUUGCUCAUUAUGGAUAAAUUCAUACAUUUAAAAUCUAUAUGCUGAAUUUAUAUAUUUCUGUGAAGCUGCUUUGGGACAAUUUCUAUUGUUAAAAGCACUAUAUAAAUAAAACUGAAUUGAAUUGAAUUUAUGCUAUAGCAUACAAAGACAUUGUGGACAAGUGUAUGCUUCUAACUUUGUGGUGGUGCUUUUAGGAAAAUCCUUUUCUGUUCCAGCAUGACAAUGCCCCUAUGCACAAAAUGAGGUCCAUAAAAACACGUUCCCUUUCAAAGGGAACUCAAUGUUUGGCAAGCUGCACACCGUGGGAAGUGCCCUCACACGUGACUGGUAUCUGAAAUCUGUGUGAAAUCUUGCCAAUUUAUAGGUCUGCCGUGGUCAGGUGAUAUGGCAAUUUUGCACGUUACCUGACUAUAAAACAGCACCUGUUAACCAUGUCAUCAGCCUUAUUACUUCAGCAAAAGACUGUGUCUGUUAUUUGUGUGAACAUUCGCAAAAAAAAGAAAAGUAUGAGUCAGAAGGAGUUCGGGAAGUGUGUCAUGUCUUGCUCCCAUUUCAUUACAGGGGACAGACAGACAAACUUUCUGUGUGAAGUGUCUGGAGCAUGCUGCAGCAGCCCUUGAGGGGGCUGACUAUGCACAUUGUGAAUGCAUUUGAGUCAUUGAGUCAUGCAUUUGAGGCGGCUCCACUUUGGCUCGCUCUCUUCUCAGAUGAAGGGAGUUGGGUUUCGGAGCCUCGCAGAUCAGGUCCGGCUGCUGCCAGGACAGCCAGCCAGCUCAGGUCCUGGGGAUCCUACAUGGAUCUGGAAGAGGAGCUUGAGACGAGCUCAGCUCUUGCUCUAUCUUCCCGGUCCAACUCUCAGCCAGAAUUUGGAGCUCCUUCACACCGCAGAAAACUCCCCUAUUUCCCAAAAGUACAUGACGAAAUAUUGCACUUCUGAGGAAAACCAUACACUAGCCAUGUUUAUAACCCCGCAACGUCAGAUUAUUCGGCCAUUCUGGGGAAAUAACAGCACGGGUAUUUGGCUAUGCCAAAGGUGGAAGAGGCACUUGUGAGCUUCCUCUCUCCAUCGAUGGCAGAAAAUUUUGCAGGGCCUGCUUUGCCAUCCAAGCCAUGUAAGGUCACCUCAGCAUUGGUUGGCAAAGCAUAUGUGGCAGCGGGUCUCGCAUGUGGGUCACUGCAUACAAUGACAGCAUUGCAGGCCUACCAAGCAGAUCUGCUGAGUGAGCUCGACAGCAGGGAGAGAAUUGGGAAUUAGGCAGUGGCAGAGCUUUGCUGCACCACAGAUUUGUCUCUUCAGGCAACCAAGCAAAUGGCCCAUCAUAUCGGCUGUUCAGUGGGUGGAGAUGCAUCUAUGGCUCAAACUCUCAGGGAUGGGGGAUAAGGAUAAGGUCUCCCUGCUGGACACCCCUGUUCAACCUUCCGGCCUGUUCAGUGGCAUAGUUAACACCAUUGCCAACAGGUUUUGCGAAGUGAAACAAAAAUCGGCGGCAUUCAGACAGUUCCUUCCCCAUCAUGUCAAGUUCGGGCCAGCACUAGUGUGAGGGAGGCACAGAAGGUGAGUGUGGCAGCCUGCCUCGCACCAGGGAGAGCCAGGGGGACCAGGCAGCCACAGUCGCAGCCUGCUGGUAGGCCUCAUCUGAGAAUGAUCAGAAAUGCCAUGCAGACAAAGAAGGAGCCCGACGUUAGUGCAGGAAGUAAGAUCCCUCUUUCCCUGAGGGAGGGAGGGAGGUUUUUACAGUUGUUAUUUCCUGGUCUGCAAAAAAAGAUGGGAAUAUGCAACCAAUUUUAUAUCUGUGCCAUCUGAACUGUACUCUUCAGACAUACAGGUUCAAGAUGUUGACACUCAAACUUAUCGUUCCACAGAUUCAGUCUGAGUAUGAAACCCCUGAGAGUAAUCAGUGUCAAAUGGUAAUGCCUACGUGCGCUGAAAAUUUGGAGGUGUCCCCAGUUUCAAGCCUUGGGUCACACUCUUGGUGUGUCUCCUUAUCGCACGAUGGUAAUGACAGAUGCCUCCCUCAUGGGCUGGGGUGCAGUCAUAGAUGGCUGUCCAGCUCACUGUCUCUGGAGCGGCCCCCAUCUGGAGUUCCAUAUAAAUUGCCUAGAAAUGCAGGCCAUAUUUCUAGCAUUGAAAUUCUUUCUCCUCAAUUGAAAUGUCACCAUGUGUUAGUUGUGACAUGCAACAAAGUGGUGGUCUCAUAUAUCAGCCACCAGGAAGGGUUAUGUUCAAGCUGCCUGUUCAGGCAGGUGCAAUUAAUUCUUCUCUGGGGGGAGGGAAAGUUUGUGUCAGUGAGUUCAAUGUAAAUUCCAGGCAGACAUCCUGUCAAGGCAGGGGGUGAGGCCCGGGGAUUGGAGGCUCCAUCCACAAGUGGUGAAGUUUGUAGGGUGGAGGUUCGGCCAAGCGGAAGCGGAUGUGUUUGCCUCUGAGGAGAAAACACACUGCCUGCUGUGGUUUCGCCCUCACUCCUCCCGAACUGUUGGGGCUGGAUGCCAUGGUACACAGGUGGUCGAGGUCACAUCUGUACGUUUUUCUCCCAAUCGCUCUGCUCCCUGAAGUUCCAGCAAGAGUUCACCAAGAUCGUCUACGUCUGCUGCUAGUAGCACCUUAUUGGUCAGCUCAAAUAUGCUUCUCAGAGAUAAUAUCCUGCUAGAUGGCACUCCCUGGGAGAUUCCCAUUUGCAGGGAUUUACUUUCUCAAGCCAGAGGGUUGAUUUAUCACCCCCGGAUGGAGCUAUGGAAACUGUGGGGCUGGCCGCUGAGAGGCACCAGGUCAUAGAUUCCGGUCUCUCAACUAAGGCUGUAGAGACCAUGUUGAAUGCUAGAGCAUCAUCCAUAAGAAAACUGUAUGUGCUCAAGUGGCGACAUUUUGUCUCGUGGUGUGAGGAACGUCAGUUAGACCCAGUAAACUGCGCAAUAGCUACCGUCCGGGAGAUCUCAGCAGGGUUUACUCCUUCUACAAUCAGGGUCUACGUGGCCACCAUUUCAGCCAGCCAUGCCCCUAUUUAUGGAGCCACCAUGGGGCAACAUCCUCUAAUAUCGAGGUUUAUGCAUGGUGCCAAGCAGACCACACAUUUCUGUUAGGCGCCCCAUUUGAGCCCUUAGAGUCAGCCUCAGAGAAGCUUCUUACACUAAAGGUAGCUCUUUUGCUGGCCCUGACACCUCUCAAGCGAGUAGGAAUUCCUUCUACAAGCUGUCUCUUUUCCCCUUCCAGCCUUGACUUUGCCCCUGGAUUAGUCCAGGCCUUCCUAUAUCCUAGGCCGGAUUAUAUUCCUAAAGUGCCUACAUCUGCUGCCCAGCUGGUAGUGUUGCAGGCUUUCUGCCCUCCUCUGUUCCUCACACCGGAAUAUGAAAAAUUGCACCUACUGUGUCCAGUAAGGGUUCUCUGUACUUAUGUCCACCACUCUGGCUAGUGGUGUAAGUCAAAGCAGUUGCUGGUCUGCUUUGGUGGCGACAGUAGAGGUGAUACUGUGUCAAAGCAGUGCAUCUCUAAUUGGAUAGUGUAAGCAAUCUCUAUCGCUUAUGGGGUGCGUGGUCUCGCGACGCCUCUGGGCAUAAGGGCUCAUUCCACUAGGGGGGGUCACCUCCUCGAAGGCUUUAUCCAAAGGAGUACCUUUACAGGAUGUGUGCGCUGUGGCGGGUUGGUCUAUAUUCAUUCGGUAUUACAAUUUGGACAUGCAUUUCACCCUGGGCUUGAGUGUCCUUCGGACUUGUAUCUUUUUGAACAGGCCAUACCCUCAAUAUGACAGAGUGGGUAUUCUUGUUCCCACAGCCUGAAGCUCACACAAUGAUGAGUUCCCUUUGACAAGGAACAUCUAGGUUACACAUGUAACCCUGUUCCCUGAGAAGGGAAUGGGACAUUGCGUAGCAUUGUCAUACUGGGGCAUGCAUGUGAAUUGUAUCUUCGCUUCAGAUAAUAGAGGCUGAUAACGUGGUUCACAGGUGCCAUUUCAAAUUCAAGUGAUGCAUAAAAUUGCCAUGUCACCUGACCACGGCAGGCCUAUGAAUAGGCGUAAUUUCAGACAGACUUCAGAUACCGGUCACGCGCAAGGGCACUUCCCACAGCAUGAAGCUCAUGCAACGUUUCGUUCUCUUCUCAAGGAACAGGGUUACAUGCGUAACCCAGAUGUUUUGAUGUGUGUGGUGUGGAGGACAGAGAGCCCUGUGCUUAACUGCACUGAACACUUUUGGGAUGUACUGGAACAUUGAUUGUGAGCCAGGCCUUCUCAUUCAACAUGAAUGCUGGGUCUAAAAAAGUUUGAGAUCCAUGGUCAAAGUGGAAAACCUUGAACACUCCACACUGAAAAACAUGAAAUAAAAUAACAAUAUGUUUGCAUUUAAAUUUUCUGAUGUGUUUAGUGAUUCUGGUGCCAAUUUUGCUAUUGUAUUGUUCUCAUUAAAAAUAUGUGGCUGUCUGCUACUCUGCCAUCACAGGGGGACAUAUCACUGUUGUUGCCAAAAAACAAAAGAGCUUUUUCUCUUACUCAUAAUUUUUCAUCUAGGUUCACUGUCAUUUUAAUGACAAAUAUAAAGUGGACUCAGAGAUCCAGUGUCAUAUCACAGCCAACCAGCAACUCCAUUUCCCAAGAGGCACCACUAACUACAACAUGGCCGCUGAGGACUACACUUCCCGCACAUGUUCACCUUCGCACUAACUACACACACCUGCAACCAAUCUCACACUCAGCCCAUACACAGUAUUGAAGGACUUUGUGAACACUCAGACUUUGCGAAGUAAAUGUUCAGUUGACUUGUUCUCUGCCAUUAUCCAAGCCUUACUGUUGUGGUUUGCCAAAGUGACUUUUGACCAUUGUUUUCAUUCUCUACCUUGCCUAGUUUUGUCUGUUUGCCUGAUCGCCUGACCCCUGCCUGUUUAUCGA